AAAGGGCUGUAACCACUAAAGGCUUAUG
This 28-nucleotide non-coding RNA is filed under the name Cricetulus griseus (Chinese hamster). Lineage: Eukaryota; Metazoa; Chordata; Mammalia; Rodentia; Cricetidae. The record is from RNAcentral.